CCAAUAGCGUAUAUUAAAGUUGUUGCAGUUAAAAAGCUCGUAGUUGAACCUCGGGAUCAAUGGGUCGGUCAUGCCAAUGGUAUGUACUGGCCUCAUUGGUUCUCACCUUCUAAGGAACCGCGAUGCCCUUAAUUGGGUGUCGCGGGGAACCAGGACCUUUACUUUGAAAAAAUUAGAGUGUUUAGAGCAGGCAUUUUGCU
Molecule: ribosomal RNA, 200 nt
Filed under: uncultured Glomus
Lineage: Eukaryota; Fungi; Glomeromycota; Glomeromycetes; Glomerales; Glomeraceae
Description: partial small subunit ribosomal RNA
Rfam family: Eukaryotic small subunit ribosomal RNA
Source: RNAcentral